Molecule: ribosomal RNA, 468 nt
Filed under: uncultured bacterium
Lineage: Bacteria
Description: partial 16S ribosomal RNA
Rfam family: Bacterial small subunit ribosomal RNA
Source: RNAcentral
GACGAACGCUGGCGGCGUGCUUAACACAUGCAAGUCGAACGGAAAGGCCCUGCUUUUGUGGGGUGCUCGAGUGGCGAACGGGUGAGUAACACGUGAGUAACCUGCCCUUGACUUUGGGAUAACUUCAGGAAACUGGGGCUAAUACCGGAUAGGAGCUCCUGCUGCAUGGUGGGGGUUGGAAAGUUUCGGCGGUUGGGGAUGGACUCGCGGCUUAUCAGCUUGUUGGUGGGGUAGUGGCUUACCAAGGCUUUGACGGGUAGCCGGCCGGAGAGGGUGACCGGCCACAUUGGGACUGAGGUACGGCCCCGACUCCUACGGGAGGCAGCAGUGGGGAAUAUUGCACAAUGGGCGGAAGCCUGAUGCAGCAACGCCGCGUGCGGGAUGACGGCCUUCGGGUUGUAAACCGCUUUCGCCUGUGACGAAGCGUGAGUGACGGUAAUGGGUAAAGAAGCACCGGCUAACUACGUG